GCGGGCCUAUCUGUCUCUUACAAUAAAUCAAUUAAACUGAUCUUCUAGUAAAAAAGCUAGAAUCCACCACAAGACCAGAAGACCCUGUGAAGCUUAAACUAAACUAUUAAACCCCAUAAUAUCUACUUUAGGUUGGGGCGACCUUGGAAAAAAAAAGAACUUCCAAACACAUGACCACACUCAUUCAUCAGGCCCACAAGCCUUAUAAAAGACCCAGUACGACUGAUAAUUGAACCAAGUUACUCCAGGGAUAACAGCGCUAUCUUCUUCAAGAGUCCAUAUCAAAAAGAAGGUUUACGACCUCGAUGUUGGAUC
RNAcentral lists this ribosomal RNA (315 nucleotides) under Sibon irmelindicaprioae. RNAcentral describes it as "partial large subunit ribosomal RNA". It matches the Rfam family "Bacterial large subunit ribosomal RNA", at positions 2006 to 2538 of the family's 2925-position model. The record is from RNAcentral. Lineage: Eukaryota; Metazoa; Chordata; Lepidosauria; Squamata; Dipsadidae.